ACGUAGGUGGCAAGCGUUGUCCGGAAUUAUUGGGCGUAAAGCGCGCGCAGGCGGUCCUUUAAGUCUGAUGUGAAAGCCCACGGCUCAACCGUGGAGGGUCAUUGGAAACUGGGGGACUUGAGUGCAGAAGAGGAAAGUGGAAUUCCACGUGUAGCGGUGAAAUGCGUAGAGAAGUGGAGGAACACCAGUGGCGAAGGCGACUGCCUGGGGAGUAACUGACGCUGAGGCGCGAAAGCUGGGGGAGCAAACGGGA
Molecule: ribosomal RNA, 253 nt
Filed under: uncultured prokaryote
Description: partial 16S ribosomal RNA
Rfam family: Bacterial small subunit ribosomal RNA
Source: RNAcentral